Molecule: ribosomal RNA, 855 nt
Filed under: Oculimacula yallundae
Lineage: Eukaryota; Fungi; Ascomycota; Leotiomycetes; Helotiales; Ploettnerulaceae
Description: partial large subunit ribosomal RNA
Rfam family: Eukaryotic large subunit ribosomal RNA
Source: RNAcentral
GAUUACCUCAGUAACGGCGAGUGAAGCGGUAACAGCUCAAAUUUGAAAGCUAGCUCUUUUAGGGUUCGCAUUGUAAUUUGUAGAAGAUGCUUCGGGUGUGGCCCCGGUCUAAGUUCCUUGGAACAGGACGUCAUAGAGGGUGAGAAUCCCGUAUGUGACUGGGUGCUUUCGCUCAUGUGAAGCUCUUUCGACGAGUCGAGUUGUUUGGGAAUGCAGCUCAAAAUGGGUGGUAAAUUUCAUCUAAAGCUAAAUAUUGGCCAGAGACCGAUAGCGCACAAGUAGAGUGAUCGAAAGAUGAAAAGCACUUUGGAAAGAGAGUUAAACAGUACGUGAAAUUGUUGAAAGGGAAGCGCUUGCAACCAGACUUGCGCGCUGAUGAUCAUCCGGGCUUCUGUCCGGUGCACUCGUCUGCGCUCAGGCCAGCAUCGGUUUCGGUGGUGGGAUAAAGGCCUUGGGAAUGUAGCUCCUCUCGGGGAGUGUUAUAGCCCUCGGUGCAAUGCCGCCUAUCGGGACCGAGGACCGCGCUUCGGCUAGGAUGCUGGCGUAAUGGUUGUAAGCGACCCGUCUUGAAACACGGACCAAGGAGUCUAACAUCUAUGCGAGUGUUUGGGUGUCAAACCCAUACGCGUAAUGAAAGUGAACGGAGGUGAGAACCCUUAAGGGUGCAUCAUCGACCGGUCCUGAUGUCUUCGGAUGGAUCUGAGUAAGAGCAUAGCUGUUGGGACCCGAAAGAUGGUGAACUAUGCGUGAAUAGGGUGAAGCCAGAGGAAACUCUGGUGGAGGCUCGCAGCGGUUCUGACGUGCAAAUCGAUCGUCAAAUUUGCGUAUAGGGGCGAAAGACUAAUCGAACCAUCU